AAGCGACUAAGCGUACACGGUGGAUGCCCUGGCAGUCAGAGGCGAUGAAGGGCGUACUAAUCUGCGAUAAGCGCCGGUAAGGUGAUAUGAACCGUUAUAACCGGCGAUACCCGAAUGGGGAAACCCAGUGUGAUUCGUCACACUAUCAUUAACUGAAUCCAUAGGUUAAUGAGGCGAACCGGGGGAACUGAAACAUCUAAGUACCCCGAGGAAAAGAAAUCAACCGAGAUUCCCCCAGUAGCGGCGAGCGAACGGGGAGGAGCCCAGAGCCUGAAUCAGCAUGUGUGUUAGUGGAAGCGUCUGGAAAGGCGCGCGAUACAGGGUGACAGCCCCGUACACAAAAGCGCAUGUGCUGUGAGCUCGAUGAGUAGGGCGGGACACGUGGUAUCCUGUCUGAAUAUGGGGGGACCAUCCUCCAAGGCUAAAUACUCCUGACUGACCGAUAGUGAACCAGUACCGUGAGGGAAAGGCGAAAAGAACCCCGGCGAGGGGAGUGAAAAAGAACCUGAAACCGUGUACGUACAAGCAGUGGGAGCACAGGUUUACCUGUGUGACUGCGUACCUUUUGUAUAAUGGGUCAGCGACUUAUAUUCUGUAGCAAGGUUAACCGAAUAGGGGAGCCGGAGGGAAACCGAGUCUUAAUUGGGCGUUAAGUUGCAGGGUAUAGACCCGAAACCCGGUGAUCUAGCCAUGGGCAGGUUGAAGGUUGGGUAACACUAACUGGAGGACCGAACCGACUAAUGUUGAAAAAUUAGCGGAUGACCUGUGGCUGGGGGUGAAAGGCCAAUCAAACCGGGAGAUAGCUGGUUCUCCCCGAAAGCUAUUUAGGUAGCGCCUCGUGAAUUCAUCUCCGGGGGUAGAGCACUGUUUCGGCUAGGGGGCCAUCCCGGCUUACCAACCCGAUGCAAACUGCGAAUACCGGAGAAUGUUAUCACGGGAGACACACGGCGGGUGCUAACGUCCGUCGUGAAGAGGGAAACAACCCAGACCGCCAGCUAAGGUCCCAAAGUCAUGGUUAAGUGGGAAACGAUGUGGGAAGGCCCAGACAGCCAGGAUGUUGGCUUAGAAGCAGCCAUCAUUUAAAGAAAGCGUAAUAGCUCACUGGUCGAGUCGGCCUGCGCGGAAGAUGUAACGGGGCUAAACCAUGCACCGAAGCUGCGGCAGCGACACUGUGUGUUGUUGGGUAGGGGAGCGUUCUGUAAGCCUGUGAAGGUGUGUCGUGAGGCAUGCUGGAGGUAUCAGAAGUGCGAAUGCUGACAUAAGUAACGAUAAAGCGGGUGAAAAGCCCGCUCGCCGGAAGACCAAGGGUUCCUGUCCAACGUUAAUCGGGGCAGGGUGAGUCGACCCCUAAGGCGAGGCCGAAAGGCGUAGUCGAUGGGAAACGGGUUAAUAUUCCCGUACUUGGUGUUACUGCGAAGGGGGGACGGAGAAGGCUAUGUUGGCCGGGCGACGGUUGUCCCGGUUUAAGCGUGUAGGUGUGUGUUCCAGGUAAAUCCGGUUCACUUUAACACUGAGGCGUGACGACGAGGCACUACGGUGCUGAAGCAACAAAUGCCCUGCUUCCAGGAAAAGCCUCUAAGCAUCAGGUAACAUCAAAUCGUACCCCAAACCGACACAGGUGGUCAGGUAGAGAAUACCAAGGCGCUUGAGAGAACUCGGGUGAAGGAACUAGGCAAAAUGGUGCCGUAACUUCGGGAGAAGGCACGCUGACACGUAGGUGAAGUGAUUUACUCAUGGAGCUGAAGUCAGUCGAAGAUACCAGCUGGCUGCAACUGUUUAUUAAAAACACAGCACUGUGCAAACACGAAAGUGGACGUAUACGGUGUGACGCCUGCCCGGUGCCGGAAGGUUAAUUGAUGGGGUCAGCGCAAGCGAAGCUCCUGAUCGAAGCCCCGGUAAACGGCGGCCGUAACUAUAACGGUCCUAAGGUAGCGAAAUUCCUUGUCGGGUAAGUUCCGACCUGCACGAAUGGCGUAAUGAUGGCCAGGCUGUCUCCACCCGAGACUCAGUGAAAUUGAACUCGCUGUGAAGAUGCAGUGUACCCGCGGCAAGACGGAAAGACCCCGUGAACCUUUACUAUAGCUUGACACUGAACAUUGAGCCUUGAUGUGUAGGAUAGGUGGGAGGCUUUGAAGUGUGGACGCCAGUCUGCAUGGAGCCGACCUUGAAAUACCACCCUUUAAUGUUUGAUGUUCUAACGUGGACCCGUUACCCGGGUUGCGGACAGUGUCUGGUGGGUAGUUUGACUGGGGCGGUCUCCUCCUAAAGAGUAACGGAGGAGCACGAAGGUUGGCUAAUCCUGGUCGGACAUCAGGAGGUUAGUGCAAUGGCAUAAGCCAGCUUGACUGCGAGCGUGACGGCGCGAGCAGGUGCGAAAGCAGGUCAUAGUGAUCCGGUGGUUCUGAAUGGAAGGGCCAUCGCUCAACGGAUAAAAGGUACUCCGGGGAUAACAGGCUGAUACCGCCCAAGAGUUCAUAUCGACGGCGGUGUUUGGCACCUCGAUGUCGGCUCAUCACAUCCUGGGGCUGAAGUAGGUCCCAAGGGUAUGGCUGUUCGCCAUUUAAAGUGGUACGCGAGCUGGGUUUAGAACGUCGUGAGACAGUUCGGUCCCUAUCUGCCGUGGGCGCUGGAGAACUGAGGGGGGCUGCUCCUAGUACGAGAGGACCGGAGUGGACGCAUCACUGGUGUUCGGGUUGUCAUGCCAAUGGCACUGCCCGGUAGCUAAAUGCGGAAGAGAUAAGUGCUGAAAGCAUCUAAGCACGAAACUUGCCCCGAG
RNAcentral lists this ribosomal RNA (2776 nucleotides) under Salmonella enterica subsp. enterica serovar Enteritidis. RNAcentral's name for it is "partial 23S ribosomal RNA". It matches the Rfam family "Bacterial large subunit ribosomal RNA". The record is from RNAcentral. Lineage: Bacteria; Pseudomonadati; Pseudomonadota; Gammaproteobacteria; Enterobacterales; Enterobacteriaceae.